AGAGUUUGAUCCUGGCUCAGGAUGAACGCUAGCGGCAGGCUUAACACAUGCAAGUCGAGGGGUAUAGAGAGCUUGCUUUCUAGAGACCGGCGCACGGGUGCGUAACGCGUAUGCAAUCUACCUUUAUCAGAGGGAUAGCCCAGAGAAAUUUGGAUUAAUACCUCAUAGUAUAGCGACAUCGCAUGAUGAUGCUAUUAAAGUCACAACGGAUAAAGAUGAGCAUGCGUCCCAUUAGCUUGUUGGUAAGGUAACGGCUUACCAAGGCAACGAUGGGUAGGGGUCCUGAGAGGGAGAUCCCCCACACUGGUACUGAGACACGGACCAGACUCCUACGGGAGGCAGCAGUGAGGAAUAUUGGUCAAUGGGCGCAAGCCUGAACCAGCCAUGCCGCGUGCAGGAUGACGGUCCUAUGGAUUGUAAACUGCUUUUGCACAGGAAGAAACACUACCUCGUGAGGUAGCUUGACGGUACUGUGAGAAUAAGGAUCGGCUAACUCCGUGCCGGCAGCCGCGGUAAUACGGAGGAUCCAAGCGUUAUCCGGAAUCAUUGGGUUUAAAGGGUCCGUAGGCGGUUUAAUAAGUCAGUGGUGAAAGCCCAUCGCUCAACGAUGGAACGGCCAUUGAUACUGUUAGACUUGAAUUAUUUGGAAGUAACUAGAAUAUGUAGUGUAGCGGUGAAAUGCUUAGAGAUUACAUGGAAUACCAAUUGCGAAGGCAGGUUACUACGAAUGGAUUGACGCUGAUGGACGAAAGCGUGGGUAGCGAACAGGAUUAGAUACCCUGGUAGUCCACGCCGUAAACGAUGGAUACUAGCUGUUGGAA
RNAcentral lists this ribosomal RNA (821 nucleotides) under uncultured Flavobacterium sp. RNAcentral's name for it is "bacterial SSU rRNA". It matches the Rfam family "Bacterial small subunit ribosomal RNA", at positions 8 to 828 of the family's 1533-position model. Lineage: Bacteria; Pseudomonadati; Bacteroidota; Flavobacteriia; Flavobacteriales; Flavobacteriaceae. The record is from RNAcentral.